RNAcentral lists this ribosomal RNA (253 nucleotides) under uncultured bacterium. RNAcentral describes it as "partial 16S ribosomal RNA". It matches the Rfam family "Bacterial small subunit ribosomal RNA", at positions 524 to 776 of the family's 1533-position model. The record is from RNAcentral.
UACAGAGGUCUCAAGCGUUGUUCGGAUUCAUUGGGCGUAAAGGGUGCGUAGGCGGCGCGGUAAGUCGGGUGUGAAAUUUCGAGGCUUAACUUCGAAACUGCAUUCGAUACUGCCGUGCUAGAGGACUGGAGAGGAGACUGGAAUUCAUGGUGUAGCAGUGAAAUGCGUAGAGAUCAUGAGGAAGACCAGUGGCGAAGGCGGGUCUCUGGACAGUUCCUGACACUGAGACACGAAGGCCAGGGGAGCAAACGGG